Molecule: long non-coding RNA, 1592 nt
Organism: Balaenoptera ricei (Rice's whale)
Lineage: Eukaryota; Metazoa; Chordata; Mammalia; Artiodactyla; Balaenopteridae
Exons: 3
Source: RefSeq, a predicted model, not a curated record
AGGUCUCGGUCUCCGUUAGGAAUUUCUUGCAACUUCCUUGGAUCUGUGAAGAAUGCUCAUCUCACCUCGGAUCAGCAUGACUCUUGACGCGUUAGUGAGAUUAUCCAGGGCUAGCAGCAUCGUGUCACCGAGCAAAGGGCAAGGAAUUACAUUUGUCAUCAGAAGGGAUCUUCAUUUUAGAAAGGAAAAGUACAGUUCAGCAUCGGAGGCAAGAAUUGCAGAACAUAUAGGAUGAAGGUGGGAGAAAGUUGGCUUUGCCGUGCUCAGGCCUUCAGAGGCCUUUGACCUGCCGGAAGCUGUCACUUCUCAGAUGUCGUGGGGAGAUGACCACAACCCAUCAGUGACGGGCAGCACCCCCCAGGGUGAUGCGCCACACACGGGAAGUGCAGGUGCCUGGCUCACGCUGGAGACACUUAAGGGACUCGGUGUUCCACCUCAUUCUGGACAGGGCUGCCCGACUGGAACGAGCACCGCCCCGGAGCCCGGGACCCCAGUGACGCGAGCGCCCCUCACCUGUGAGCUGGGGACCAGAGCGGGGCUGAUGGGCAGGGUCGAGGUGGCCAAGGUACGGCUGAGGAGAGGGUUGGGGAGGCUGCUGCUGGGAGGGUGGGUGGCCUUCCAGUAGGCCUCCAGGUAGUCGGCAAGGUGCUCACAGGCGUCCUCGAGCUGGUUCUCAUCCAGAAUCACAUCGAACAGCUCCUGCAGGGGCAGACAGUGCAGACGGCAUGCUGACAGCAGCCAGGGCCCGCCCGGCGCCUCCCCGCACGCGCGGAGCAAGGAGGGCGCCCGAGAGCUGCACGCCGCGUCCCUGCCCGAGGCAACGGGCUCCUCCUUCCUCCUCGCCUUGGCGGGCCAUCCGCUAAGGUCAGGUUAUGCGCGUCUGGCCUCAGGUCGCUGUGGAGGACACGGCUGCUUCGCCGUGUGAAUGACCAGGAAGUGAGCAGGUGUGAUAACAGUUGUUAGGGCCACCAGAGAAAAGUGGCCCACACUGAAAAAAGGAACUGAUCCUAUGCUAGGGGAGAGACAUAGAAAAGAAAAUGAGACUAUAAGCCAAACACACAGUACAGGAAGAAGCCUGUCUUUGACAGAGACUAUGAAAAGCUGAACCUUGGAAAUGACUGAGGUGAGGUGAAGACGUGAGGAAGCCGAAGCCUCUCAUGAUUUGAUGUGGUCCAGACUGCAAAACAGUUCAGAGUUCCUAUAAAUGUUAACGUACUCCCAGUAAUUACACGUGGAUCUGAUCAUAGUUCAUAAGGCUUCUGAGAUACCUUCAUUUUAAAAAAGCCAGAAGCAUACGGUCCCAAAGCGUGGUAUGCAGAGCAAGGGAUUCGAGGUAGGAAUGUGUUCAGGGGUCAGAAUCUGGUUACUGAGUGGUUUAGAAAUGGUCUCAGAUCAAUUUCUUAGAUGGUGAUGAAGAGCCAGCAACUUGCUCCCUGAUUAGAAGUGAAUAAUAAACCAACCCCAAACAGAGCCGUCUUUUAAACCAAAGUUUUUAAACAACGAUUGUGUUUCAUUUAAGAUAGUACUGAGGUGUUAGAUUAACAAAGCGAGGUCACCACGGAACACACCGUAGCCGUUCGUAAGCCACGACC